Molecule: ribosomal RNA, 254 nt
Filed under: uncultured bacterium
Lineage: Bacteria
Description: partial 16S ribosomal RNA
Rfam family: Bacterial small subunit ribosomal RNA
Source: RNAcentral
AAGGGCGAGCUACCCACGCAAUGGGAGUGCGAAUCUCGAAAGCCUGUCUCAGUUCGGAUUGGAGGCUGAAACCCGCCUCCAUGAAGUUGGAUUCGCUAGUAAUCGCGCAUCAGCCAUGGCGCGGUGAAUACGUUCCCGGGCCUUGUACACACCGCCCGUCAAGCCAUGGGAGCCGGGGGGUGCCUGAAGUUCGUGACCGCAAGGAGCGACCUAGGGCAAAACUGGUGACUGGGGCUAAGUCGUAACAAGGUAGC